GUGCUUGCUUUGGCAGCACAUAUACUAAAAUUGGAACGAUAGAGAAGAGUAGCUUGGCCUCUGUGCAAGGAUGGCAUGCAAAUUCAUGAAGUGUUCCAUAUUUAA
Mustela putorius furo (domestic ferret) is the source of this 105-nucleotide small nuclear RNA. Lineage: Eukaryota; Metazoa; Chordata; Mammalia; Carnivora; Mustelidae. The record is from Ensembl.